CUUACUCUUUGUAUGGUUAUCCGUGGAGUCGAUUUCAAGAAUCGAUUCGGGAGAAGAUUGACUUUGCACGGGAGUGGAAGGAGGACGUUUUGCGACGGAAGGUUUGAAUUAAACUAAUACAACUGUACAGUGAAUGUAAAGUGGACAAUGGCAGAGGAAUCAGAUGGUUAUAUACGGGAUCAUGAGAAUUUGGAUGAAAAUGACGAAAUGUUCUGGGAGGAAAUUAGGAAAAAACAAAGCAAACUUCUAGGACACCAACAAGUAAUACCUACAGUUCAAACACAGUGAGACAGAAUAAUGAGAACCAUAUGAGAGAGAUAACACAACAGACAAAGUAGGUGGCGGUAUGCACCAAAGAGAUGUCACCCGCCAAUAAACCAACAAGAAGAAGAAGAAGAAGAAGAAGAAUCGAUUCUGCAAAAUGGUGUUGUUGACACAGGACUGGAUAUUACACAGCAGUGGUUUGCAAAAUGUGGUACGACCAGCACUGCUAGCACUUAAAGCUUCCCAGGUGGUCAACAGGAUAAACACCAGACGAAAAUGAGCUGCAUACAUAUAAUUAAAAAGGAAUGAUUUUAAAUCGUG
Long non-coding RNA from Trichomycterus rosablanca, 585 nucleotides. RefSeq lists it as uncharacterized. The transcript has 3 exons. The record is from RefSeq and is a predicted model, not a curated record. NCBI's taxonomy places the organism in Eukaryota, Metazoa, Chordata, Actinopteri, Siluriformes, Trichomycteridae.